This 168-nucleotide ribosomal RNA is filed under the name Palapedia truncatifrons. Its description in RNAcentral is "partial 16S rRNA". Lineage: Eukaryota; Metazoa; Arthropoda; Malacostraca; Decapoda; Xanthidae. The record is from RNAcentral.
GCUUUAUAGAUAAUUUAGAUUCAGCUAAUUUGAAAGUUAAAGGUUAGAUAUAAUUAUUCUAUUUUAUUGGGGUGAUAUGAGUAUAAAUGUUGAUAACUGCUUAAAAUAAAUUCUUUUAUAGGAGAGUUAAAAGUGUAUGAUCCUUCUUAAAGAUUAAGAGACUAAGUU